UUCGGGGGGACGAGGGUGGACAGGUGGUGCAUGGUUGUCGUCAGCUCGUGUCGUGAGAUGUUGGGUUAAGUCCCGCAACGAGCGCAACCCUCGACCUUAGUUGCCAGCAUUCAGUUGGGCACUCUAAGGUGACUGCCGGCUAAAAGUCGGAGGAAGGUGGGGGAUGACGUCAAAUCAUCAUGCCCCUUAUGACCUGGGCUACACACGUGCUACAAUGGGCGGUACAAAGGGUCGCGAACCCGCGAGGGGGAGCCAAUCCCAAAAAGCCGCUCUCAGUUCGGAUUGCAGGCUGCAACUCGCCUGCAUGAAGCCGGAAUCGCUAGUAAUCGCGGAUCAGCAUGCCGCGGUGAAUACGUUCCCGGGCCUU
This 367-nucleotide ribosomal RNA is filed under the name uncultured Anoxybacillus sp. RNAcentral's name for it is "bacterial SSU rRNA". It matches the Rfam family "Bacterial small subunit ribosomal RNA", at positions 1016 to 1382 of the family's 1533-position model. The record is from RNAcentral. Lineage: Bacteria; Bacillati; Bacillota; Bacilli; Caryophanales; Anoxybacillaceae.